This 298-nucleotide ribosomal RNA is filed under the name Lysinibacillus sphaericus. RNAcentral describes it as "partial 16S ribosomal RNA". It matches the Rfam family "Bacterial small subunit ribosomal RNA", at positions 977 to 1274 of the family's 1533-position model. The record is from RNAcentral. Lineage: Bacteria; Bacillati; Bacillota; Bacilli; Caryophanales; Bacillaceae.
GGUCUUGACAUACCGUUGACCACUGUAGAGAUAUGGUUUCCCCUUCGGGGGCAACGGUGACAGGUGGUGCAUGGUUGUCGUCAGCUCGUGUCGUGAGAUGUUGGGUUAAGUCCCGCAACGAGCGCAACCCUUGAUCUUAGUUGCCAUCAUUUAGUUGGGCACUCUAAGGUGACUGCCGGUGACAAACCGGAGGAAGGUGGGGAUGACGUCAAAUCAUCAUGCCCCUUAUGACCUGGGCUACACACGUGCUACAAUGGACGAUACAAACGGUUGCCAACUCGCGAGAGGGAGCUAAUCC